GAGUUUGAUCCUGGCUCAGAGUGAACGCUGGCGGCAGGCCUAACACAUGCAAGUCGAACGGCAGCGCAGUCCCGCAAGGGAUGGGCGGCGAGUGGCGGACGGGUGAGGAAUACAUCGGAAUCUACCUUGUCGUGGGGGAUAACGUAGGGAAACUUACGCUAAUACCGCAUACGACCUACGGGUGAAAGCGGCGGACCGCAAGGCGUCGCGCGAUUGGAUGAGCCGAUGUCCGAUUAGCUAGUUGGCGGGGUAAGAGCCCACCAAGGCGACGAUCGGUAGCUGGUCUGAGAGGAUGAUCAGCCACACUGGAACUGAGACACGGUCCAGACUCCUACGGGAGGCAGCAGUGGGGAAUAUUGGACAAUGGGCGCAAGCCUGAUCCAGCCAUGCCGCGUGUGUGAAGAAGGCC
Molecule: ribosomal RNA, 409 nt
Filed under: uncultured Gammaproteobacteria bacterium
Lineage: Bacteria; Pseudomonadati; Pseudomonadota; Gammaproteobacteria
Description: bacterial SSU rRNA
Rfam family: Bacterial small subunit ribosomal RNA
Source: RNAcentral